Molecule: ribosomal RNA, 460 nt
Filed under: uncultured bacterium
Lineage: Bacteria
Description: partial 16S ribosomal RNA
Rfam family: Bacterial small subunit ribosomal RNA
Source: RNAcentral
CCUACGGGAGGCAGCAGUGAGGAAUAUUGGUCAAUGGGCGCGAGCCUGAACCAGCCAAGUAGCGUGCAGGAUGACUGCCCUACGUGUUGUAAACUUCUUUUAUAAAGGAAUAAAGUGAGGCACGUGUGCCUUUUUGUAUGUACUUUAUGAAUAAGGAUCGGCUAACUCCGUGCCAGCAGCCGCGGUAAUACGGAGGAUCCGAGCGUUAUCCGGAUUUAUUGGGUUUAAAGGGAGCGUAGGUGGGUUGUUAAGUCAGUUGUGAAAGUUCGGGGCUCAAACGUAAAAUUGCAAUUGAUACUGGCAGUCUUGAGUGCAGUUGAGGUAGGCGGAAUGCGUGGUGUAGCGGUGAAAUGCUUAGAUAUCACGCAGAACCCCGAUUGCGAAGGCAGCUUACUAAACUACCACUGACGUUGAGGCACGAAAGUGUGGGUAUCAAACAGGAUUAGAUACCCCUGUAGUC